Molecule: long non-coding RNA, 725 nt
Filed under: Bos taurus (domestic cattle)
Lineage: Eukaryota; Metazoa; Chordata; Mammalia; Artiodactyla; Bovidae
Description: long non-coding RNA NONBTAT022000
Source: RNAcentral
ACAUAUUAGCCUGAACCAAGCUAUGGCAGUAGGAAUAGAAUACGGCACAUAAAGAGUGUAGAGUUAAGGAAGUCAUACAUUGUUACAUGGGAAUACUGAGAAGGUGGGAUCUAUUAAAUAUAUAUUCAGUCCAUUGGAAGAGGACACAUGAAUGGUCAGUUUUGCACCUGAUGGACUAUUUAGCUUUUCUACUUCUUGAUGACAAGGAUUCUCAUACUAGGUUUUGAAAUACAUUUCUAACAUUAGUGUAUCACAUGUGGAGUUGGCAGUAAAAAUUUGUUGAAUGACCAAAACUGGGUAAAAAAUGUAUAAUGGUUAUUUUAACUCUCAAGAAAGGAUUUGAGCUAGAUAUCUGAAAAUUACCCACCAAUAUCCUGAGAUAAUAUUUGAAGUUAGGUAGGAGGAUGAGAGCCAACAAAGAAAAUGAAGAAAAUAUAUUCAAGAUAAGAGUCUUGAGGAGUGCUGCAUCAUUAGGAAAAAAGAAUGAAAUGAUUUGACACUGAAAAAGACUGUAGUAGGUAGGAGGGAAAGACUAGAAUUGGUUGAUUUCAAGAAUGGAAGGUCAAUGACUGCUGCUUCGAAACAGUGAGCAAUAACGACUGAGAAAAGGCUCCAGGUUCAUGUGGUUUGGUUGGGGUAUUACCUCUGGCUAAGUAUUUUCUAAAAAGCAUCUUUAUGAGGAAUGAUAGAUUUGGAGGUCACCUUAUAAAGGCUAAGUGGAUAAU